UUGUCUCGUAUUUAUAAGAGCUAAAAAUAUAUAGAUUUUAAUGUAGAAAAAUUAUUUAUAAUAUAUUUUUUGAUAUUAUACGUUAGUCGGGUAUAAAUAUAUCUAGUUUUUUAAGAAAUUAAUUUAAUUAAGCUGAUUUUAGGGGUAAUUUAUCUAAUAAAUAAGCCUGUAAAUUAAGUAAUAUUUAAGGGGAUAAGCUUUUAAAUAAAAUUUUAUAAAAAUUGAUUAGUUUAAAGUUGAGUAGGAAUAGAAGUUUUUAUUUUUUGUAGUGUUUUAUAUCAAGAUUUUAAUUAAGGUAAUUUGUUUUUUUUUAAGUAUUUUAUUAAAAUAUUAAAAUUAAUUGAUGGUUUUAAGUAAUAAUGAUAAAAUAAGUAAAGUUUUUUGUUUAGGGGAAUGUAAUAUGUAAGGUUUAGUUAAGGAACUCGGCAAAUAUAUUUUCUGCCUGUUUAUUAAAAACAUGGCUUUUUGUAAAUAAUUUAAGGUCAGGCCUGCCCAAUGAUUAAUUGAAUGGCCGCGGUACUCUGACCGUGCAAAGGUAGCAUAAUCAUUAGUUUUUUAAUUGAAAGCUGGAAUGAACGGUCUUACAAGAAAAUUUCUGUCUCAAUUAAAUGGUUCUUGAAUUUUAUUUUUUAGUUAAAAGGCUAAAAUGUGUUUAGGGGACGAGAAGACC
RNAcentral lists this ribosomal RNA (670 nucleotides) under Dorcus koreanus. Its description in RNAcentral is "partial 16S ribosomal RNA". The stretch from base 400 to 646 matches the Rfam family "Archaeal large subunit ribosomal RNA", at positions 1784 to 2143 of the family's 2987-position model. The record is from RNAcentral. Lineage: Eukaryota; Metazoa; Arthropoda; Insecta; Coleoptera; Lucanidae.